RNAcentral lists this ribosomal RNA (492 nucleotides) under uncultured bacterium. RNAcentral's name for it is "partial 16S ribosomal RNA". It matches the Rfam family "Bacterial small subunit ribosomal RNA", at positions 29 to 507 of the family's 1533-position model. The record is from RNAcentral.
AGUGAACGCUGGCGGUAGGCCUAACACAUGCAAGUCGAACGGCAGCACAGUAAGAGCUUGCUCUUACGGGUGGCGAGUGGCGGACGGGUGAGGAAUACAUCGGAAUCUACUUUUUCGUGGGGGAUAACGUAGGGAAACUUACGCUAAUACCGCACACGACCUACGGGUGAAAGCAGGGGAUCUUCGGACCUUGCGCGAUUGAAUGAGCCGAUGUCGGAUUAGCUAGUUGGCGGGGUAAAGGCCCACCAAGGCGACGAUCCGUAGCUGGUCUGAGAGGAUGAUCAGCCACACUGGAACUGAGACACGGUCCAGACUCCUACGGGAGGCAGCAGUGGGGAAUAUUGGACAAUGGGCGCAAGCCUGAUCCAGCCAUACCGCGUGGGUGAAGAAGGCCUUCGGGUUGUAAAGCCCUUUUGUUGGGAAAGAAAAGCAGCAGGUUAAUACCCCGCUGUUCUGACGGUACCCAAAGAAUAGGCACCGGCUAACUUCGUG